CCCCCCCCCCCCCCCCCCCCCCCCCCCCCCCCCCCGCUCCCGCCGCUCGCCGGAUGGGGCCUGUGACAGUGGCGCCCUGAAGCCACUCGUGGGUCCGGCCAGCGGGGGCGGAGCGUCGGGUCCGGAUGGCUCUGCGGCCCGCCUUUAAGACGAACGAGCUGAUUCAGGCUUCAGACUCGUCAUGGGAAAAGCCGACCUCAGGGCCGUCGGUCUUCCUCAGUCAGUACUUGCCGAGCACCUGCCGUGCGUGCCUGUGCCCGCAGCCCGCAGCCCGCUGGGGUGGCAGAAGCAGGGCCCGCACCGACGCGUUUAUGGCCACAGAGAGCUUUUCUCCCCCCCGCAGCCUGUGAGAGCCGCCAGGACUCGGCCACGAACUUGACCAGCCCCAAUGGCAGCAACAGUAUUAGCAUGUCGGUGGAGAUUAACGGGGUCAUGUACACAGGAGUGCUGUUUGCCCAGCCGCCGGCGCCCGCACCGCCCCCAGCUCCCAGCAAAGGCGGCGGCGGCCGGGGAGGGAGCAGCGGGACCAGCGGCAGCGGCCAGGCCGGCCCGGCGGGCUUGUCCACACCCGCCACGUCUUCUACCUCAAAUAAUUCAUUGCCUUAACCGCGCCACCCCCCACCUGCCACCCCCCACCCCCGCCUGGGCGAGGGGGUCGAGGUGGGCCAGGCAGGGGCCGGACGACGGAAGAUACGGGUGGGGAGGGGAGGCGUCCACAAAGGAGCCACAGCUAAAGCCAAAAAGAGAAGAAAAAUAUAUAUACAUAUAUAUAUAAAGAAAAUUUAAUAAAACAGGGGAAAACCAAGGAACACUUGAAUUACUCAGGUUUCGGACAUUCAGAGACAUGAUCGUGAGAACAGCGACGGAAGUCAGAAAGGAGAGGCAUUUGUUCCGGGGUCCCACAGCCCUGCUGGACCAGCUGCCCGGGGUCUGGGGUCUGCUGGGACCAGUGGCCGUGGGAGGCCGAUCCUGUUUACCUCAUACAUCUCUGCACUGUGUGUUUUCAUUUUUGUCUGUUUUUUCCCUUCCUUUUUUUCUCCCAUUCAUCACACACCACACCCAGCUCCUUGUGUUGAAUGAAACCCCUGAGCCACGAGCAGUAGAAUUUUUUUCUCCUUGCUUUUAGAGAACUUUUUUUUUUUUAAAGAAACAGUGAUACUCAAACUCUAUAGGGUUUUUAAGAGGUUUUGGGGUUUUUGUUUUGUAAAUAAUCUAUUUUAUUCUUGGGGGAGGACUCAAACCUUAGGAAAAGGAUAUAUAUAUCUAUAUAUUUGUGUUCAUUCAGGGAAACUGGGCUUGAAAAUGCAAAAAAAAAAAAAAAAAAAAGAAAAAAGUAAUACCCUUUUUAUUUUCCCAUAACUGAUUCGGGUCCUUUGUGCGUUUCCUGCAGUGAGGUGGCGGCUGGCAGGCCAGGCCCGGCCCGGAGAGGCCGUGUACUCAGGUGUGGGCGCGGGCGGGGGUGCUGAGCGGCACCAACCGGGCACCGCGGCCCUGUCUCUGCUGUGCGGUGUGCGCCGGCCUUCCUGGCAGGCGGAGGCUGGAAGUCUUCGGUAGAAAGUGCAGGGCGAAGGGCCCCAGGGGUGGGGGGGGCCACCUGUCACCGCCCCACACUCCUGUCUCAGGGAUGAAUGUGGCCUGGGGGCUCUCUUGUGUGAAAGGGCUACUCUGGGAGAUUAUCCGUACUGGGGACAGGGACAGGGUGAGCCGGGCUUAGCUCAGGGCGAGGGUUUUGAGGCCAUGGCAUCCUGAACCCCCCCCCCCAUUCUCUUCUCCUUAACUCUGUCUCCUCGUCCUCUCUGGCCCCUUUGGCUUGGGGCCACACUUCCCUGCAGGAACUAAAGUCACUGAAUGGAGACCACACCGGGUCCCUGCAGGUCCAGUCCUGGUUAGAAGGUGGGUGUGGGGGGGCGGGGGGGG
Molecule: long non-coding RNA, 1917 nt
Organism: Suricata suricatta (meerkat)
Lineage: Eukaryota; Metazoa; Chordata; Mammalia; Carnivora; Herpestidae
Source: Ensembl